GCGCGAAAACUUUACAAUGCUGGCAACAGCGAUAAGGGAACCUCGAGUGCCAGGUUACGAAUCUGGCUGUCGAGAUGCCUAAAAAGCAUUUCAUAGCAAGGGCCGGGCAAGACCGGUGCCAGCCGCCGCGGUAACACCGGCGGCUCGAGUGGUAACCGUUAUUAUUGGGUCUAAAGGGUCUGUAGCCGGCCGGAUAAGUCUCUUGAGAAAUCUGGCAGCUUAACUGUCAGGCUUUCAGGAGAUACUGUCUGGCUCGAGGCCGGGAGAGGUGAGAGGUACUUCAGGGGUAGGGGUGAAAUCUUGUAAUCCUUGAAGGACCACCAGUGGCGAAGGUGUCUCACCAGAACGGACCUGACGGCAAGGGACGAAAGCUAGGGGCACGAACGG
Molecule: ribosomal RNA, 387 nt
Filed under: uncultured bacterium
Lineage: Bacteria
Description: bacterial SSU rRNA
Rfam family: Archaeal small subunit ribosomal RNA
Source: RNAcentral